GACGAACGCUGGCGGCGUGCUUAACACAUGCAAGUCGAACGGAAAGGCCUGCUUUCCCUUGUGGAUUGCGGGUACUCGAGUGGCGAACGGGUGAGUAACACGUGAGUGAUCUGCCCCCAACUUGGGUAUAAGCCUGGGAAACUGGGUCUAAUUCCCGAUAGGACUGCAGGGUGGUGCCUGUGGUGGAAAACGAUUUUCUAGUGGUUGGGGAUGAGCUCGCGGCCUAUCAGCUUGUUGGUGGGGUAAUGGCCUACCAAGGCGGCGACGGGUAGCCGGCCUGGGGGGGGGGGACGGCAAAAUUGGGGCUGGGUGCCGGCCCGGACCCAGACGGGGGGCAGGGGGGGGGAUUAUUGCACACGGCGGGAAGGCUGGAGGCGGCGACCCGGGGGGGGGGAUGACGGCCUGCGGGUUGUAAACCCUUUUAGACCGGGGGGAAGCACCUGGGUUGGAGGGGUGGGGAGGGUGGGGGAAAAAGAAGCCCGGCCAAACUACGGC
RNAcentral lists this ribosomal RNA (495 nucleotides) under uncultured bacterium. Its description in RNAcentral is "partial 16S ribosomal RNA". It matches the Rfam family "Bacterial small subunit ribosomal RNA", at positions 28 to 508 of the family's 1533-position model. The record is from RNAcentral.